RNAcentral lists this ribosomal RNA (458 nucleotides) under uncultured bacterium. RNAcentral's name for it is "partial 16S ribosomal RNA". It matches the Rfam family "Bacterial small subunit ribosomal RNA", at positions 338 to 795 of the family's 1533-position model. The record is from RNAcentral.
CCUACGGGCGGCAGCAGUGAGGAAUAUUGGUCAAUGGGCGAGAGCCUGAACCAGCCAAGUCGCGUGAGGGAGUACUGCCCUAUGGGUUGUCAACCUCUUUUGUCGGGGAGCAAAAGCCGGACGUGUCCGGCUGUGAGAGUACCCGAAGAAAAAGCAUCGGCUAACUCCGUGCCAUCAGCCGCGGUAAUACGUAGGUGGCGAGCGUUAUCCGGAAUGAUUGGGCGUAAAGGGUGCGUAGGCGGCCUGCUAAGUCUGGAGUGAAAGGGACCGGCUCAACCGGUACAGGCUCUGGAAACUGGCGGGCGAGAGAGCAGGAGAGGGCGGUGGAACUCCAUGUGUAGCGGUAAAAUGCGUAGAUAUAUGGAAGAACACCAGUGGCGAAGGCGGCCGCCUGGCCUGUUACUGACGCUGAGGCACGAAAGCGUGGGGAGCAAAUAGGAUUAGAUACCCUGGUAGUC